GAUGAACGCUGGCGGCGUGCUUAACACAUGCAAGUCGAACGGAAAGGCUCCUGCUUUCAGGGGUACUCGAGUGGCGAACGGGUGAGUAACACGUGGGUGAUCUGCCCUGCACUUCGGGAUAAGCCUGGGAAACUGGGUCUAAUACCGGAUAGGACGAUGGUUUGGAUGCCAUUGUGGAAAGUUUUUCGGUGUGGGAUGAGCUCGCGGCCUAUCAGCUUGUUGGUGGGGUAAUGGCCUACCAAGGCGUCGACGGGUAGCCGGCCUGAGAGGGUGUACGGCCACAUUGGGACUGAGAUACGGCCCAGACUCCUACGGGAGGCAGAAGUGGGGAAUAUUGCACAAUGGGCGCAAGCCUGAUGCAGCGACGCCGCGUGGGGGAUGACGGCCUUCGGGUUGUAAACUCCUUUCGCUAGGAACGAAGCGCAAGUGACGGUACCUGGAGAAGAAGCACCGGCUAACUACGUG
This 465-nucleotide ribosomal RNA is filed under the name uncultured bacterium. RNAcentral describes it as "partial 16S ribosomal RNA". It matches the Rfam family "Bacterial small subunit ribosomal RNA", at positions 28 to 507 of the family's 1533-position model. The record is from RNAcentral.